AUUGAACGCUGCGGCAGGCUUAACACAUGCAAGUCGAGCGAGCAGCGGACGGGUGAGUAAUGCUUAGGACUCUGCCUAUUAGUGGGGUACAACAUCUCGAAAGGGAUUCUAAUACCGCAUACUUAUACAUGAGACUAAGUCGGAGUCGCUAGUUGGUGGGGUAAAGGCCUACCAAGCCGACGAUCUGUAGCCGGCCUGAGAGGAUGAUCCGCCACAAUGGGACUGACACACGGACGAUACUCCUACGGGAGGCAGCCGUGGGGAUUACUGGAAAAUGGGUGGAACCCUGAUCCAGCCCCGCCGCGUGUGUGAAGAAGGCCUUAUGGUUGUAAAGCACUUUAACCGAGGAGGCGUUACUCGCAGAAUAAGCACCGGCUAACACUGUGACAGCAGCCGCGGUAAUAC
This 405-nucleotide ribosomal RNA is filed under the name uncultured bacterium. RNAcentral's name for it is "partial 16S ribosomal RNA". It matches the Rfam family "Bacterial small subunit ribosomal RNA", at positions 30 to 526 of the family's 1533-position model. The record is from RNAcentral.